CCUACGGGAGGCAGCAGUGGGGAAUCUUGCGCAAUGGGCGAAAGCCUGACGCAGCAACGCCGCGUGCGGGAUGACGGCCUUCGGGUUGUAAACCGCUUUCAGUGGGGACGAACCAAGACGGUACCCACAGAAGAAGCCCCGGCCAACUACGUGCCAGCAGCCGCGGUAACACGUAGGGGGCGAGCGUUGUCCGGAUUUAUUGGGCGUAAAGAGCUCGUAGGCGGUUCGAUAAGUCGGGUGUGAAACCUCCAGGCUCAACCUGGAGACGCCACCCGAUACUGUCGUGACUAGAGUCCAGUAGGGGAGCGUGGAAUUCCUGGUGUAGCGGUGAAAUGCGCAGAUAUCAGGAGGAACACCAGUGGCGAAGGCGGCGCUCUGGGCUGGAACUGACGCUGAGGAGCGAAAGCGUGGGGAGCGAACAGGAUUAGAUACCCUGGUAGUCCACGCCGUAAACGUUGGGUACUAGGUGUGGGGUCUUAUCAACGGAUUCCGUGCCGCAGCUACGACAUAACGUACCCGCCGUCGGGUAGGUACGGCCGCGACGGACGUAAACUACAAAGAAGUAGACGGCGUGAGACGNGCCGACGGACGACGACGAGGGAGGAGG
This 607-nucleotide ribosomal RNA is filed under the name uncultured bacterium. RNAcentral describes it as "bacterial SSU rRNA". The stretch from base 1 to 521 matches the Rfam family "Bacterial small subunit ribosomal RNA", at positions 338 to 873 of the family's 1533-position model. The record is from RNAcentral.